This is a long non-coding RNA of Gallus gallus (chicken), 360 nucleotides long. RefSeq lists it as uncharacterized. The record is from RefSeq and is a predicted model, not a curated record. The transcript is spliced from 2 exons. NCBI's taxonomy places the organism in Eukaryota, Metazoa, Chordata, Aves, Galliformes, Phasianidae.
GUCUGAAGCAGACUCAACACAACGUGAUACAGAGAGGGAUUUAUGCUUGUGCUCGAGAGAGGUGCAAGACAACAACAACAACAAGAUACUCGCCCUGGAAAACUCCCAAAAGCUGCUGUUUCAGGUCAGAGGUUAAACAAAGGAAGGGAAGAGCUCUGCAGUGAAAUUGCCCAGAGCACCACAGCAUGUGAGCACGCGCACACGCGUGCAUGCACACACACACACACAAACGGCCGUCUAAGCACCAUGAACAAGGCAGUGGAUGGGAGAUUAUUCACAGAAUUUGAUGUUCAAAAACUCCAAGAAGUGUAAAUAGAAUGUGGCCAUAGGGCGAACAAAUAAAGGGCAAUCUGAAAUUUA